AGAAAAGAUGAGCUCCAUGCGAUAUUGGGAAUCAACGUCCAAUGAUGAUUACCUUGAUCAUCUUAAGAAAAUGGAGAAAGCCCCAACUAUGCACCCUGAUAUCCCUCUCUACCCCAAUGCUUACUGUGUUUUCAAAAACAAAUUAAGUUAUGAAGGACAACAGUCUAACAUGAAUUGUAAAAACACCGAGUCCCAGAAGAAGGUCCAGUUCGCGGAAUUAAACAAGAAUGACAAAGAGAAGCCCAAGAAUUUUCAGCUUCACAAAUGGAGGACUUUCAAAGUGUAAUACUAAAGUGUUUCCAUCUUAUUAGCACCUACUCUUCUUCAAUAAUCUAAAUAGUUUGCUAUAUUAUGUAUAGAUGUCUGUUUUACAAUCAGUUUGCUUCCCAAAAGAAGAAGAGAAGAAAACAUUUUAUGUUUAUCUUGUUGUAGUAUCCAUAGAGUUAAUAAGUAGAUUUUUA
Molecule: unclassified non-coding RNA, 461 nt
Filed under: Hevea brasiliensis (rubber tree)
Lineage: Eukaryota; Viridiplantae; Streptophyta; Magnoliopsida; Malpighiales; Euphorbiaceae
Source: RNAcentral